Molecule: ribosomal RNA, 253 nt
Filed under: uncultured bacterium
Lineage: Bacteria
Description: partial 16S ribosomal RNA
Rfam family: Bacterial small subunit ribosomal RNA
Source: RNAcentral
UACGAAGGGGGCUAGCGUUGUUCGGAAUCACUGGGCGUAAAGCGCACGUAGGCGGAUUGCUAAGUCAGGGGUGAAAUCCUGGAGCUCAACUCCAGAACUGCCUUUGAUACUGGCGGUCUCGAGUCCGGGAGAGGUGAGUGGAACUGCGAGUGUAGAGGUGAAAUUCGUAGAUAUUCGCAAGAACACCAGUGGCGAAGGCGGCUCACUGGCCCGGUACUGACGCUGAGGUGCGAAAGCAUGGGGAGCGAACGGG